GAUGAACGCUGGCGGCGUGCCUAAUACAUGCAAGUCGAGCGAACAGAUGAGGAGCUUGCUCCUCUGACGUUAGCGGCGGACGGGUGAGUAACACGUGGAUAACCUACCUAUAAGACUGGGAUAACUUCGGGAAACCGGAGCUAAUACCGGAUAAUAUAUUGAACCGCAUGGUUCAAUAGUGAAAGACGGUUUUGCUGUCACUUAUAGAUGGAUCCGCGCCGCAUUAGCUAGUUGGUAAGGUAACGGCUUACCAAGGCAACGAUGCGUAGCCGACCUGAGAGGGUGAUCGGCCACACUGGAACUGAGACACGGUCCAGACUCCUACGGGAGGCAGCAGUAGGGAAUCUUCCGCAAUGGGCGAAAGCCUGACGGAGCAACGCCGCGUGAGUGAUGAAGGUCUUCGGAUCGUAAAACCCUGUUAUUGGGGAAGAACAAAUGUGUAAGUAACUAUGCACGUCUUGACGGUACCUAAUCAGAAAGCCACGGCUAACUACGUG
RNAcentral lists this ribosomal RNA (497 nucleotides) under uncultured bacterium. RNAcentral's name for it is "partial 16S ribosomal RNA". It matches the Rfam family "Bacterial small subunit ribosomal RNA", at positions 28 to 507 of the family's 1533-position model. The record is from RNAcentral.